GUACUGUGCAAACGUUAUUCGGAAUCACUGGGCUUAAAGGGUGCGUAGGCGGUGAUUUAAGUAGGGUGUGAAAUCCCUCGGCUCAACCGAGGAACUGCGCUCUAAACUGAAUCACUUGAGUAAGAUAGGGGUGUGCGGAACUUCCGGUGGAGCGGUGAAAUGUGUUGAUAUCGGAAGGAACGCCAGUAGCGAAAGCGGCACACUGGGUCUUAACUGACGCUGGGGCACGAAAGCCAGGGUAGCGAACGGGAUUAGAUACCCCGGGUAGUCCUGGCUGUAAACGAUGAGUACUAGUUGGAAGGCGCUUACGCAUUUUCCAACGUAGCAAACGUAUUAAGUACUCCGCCUGGGGAGUAUGGUCGCAAGGCUG
Molecule: ribosomal RNA, 370 nt
Filed under: uncultured organism
Description: partial 16S ribosomal RNA
Rfam family: Bacterial small subunit ribosomal RNA
Source: RNAcentral